UAGGCCAGUUAAGAGACCAGUGGGCUA
RNAcentral lists this non-coding RNA (27 nucleotides) under Homo sapiens (human). The record is from RNAcentral. Lineage: Eukaryota; Metazoa; Chordata; Mammalia; Primates; Hominidae.